Molecule: RNA transcript, 2280 nt
Organism: Salvelinus namaycush (lake trout)
Lineage: Eukaryota; Metazoa; Chordata; Actinopteri; Salmoniformes; Salmonidae
Gene name: histidine ammonia-lyase-like
Exons: 13
Source: RefSeq, a predicted model, not a curated record
AUCUGACAUCUUUGUCAUAAGAAUCAUGCUCUUGCUGUCUCUCUCUCCCCCCGUCUCUGAUGCGACAAUUGCGACAGCCAGCCCCUGUCCCUUCACCCUAGCCACCCACACAAAGCUUCCGUCGCUGGAAAAUCCAACCAGACAUCGCGAGCCAGCGCCGUAGUCUUUGCAUAGACUCAGAAGGAAGUUGGAGCAGGCAGACAGAGAGCCGGCCGACUUCCUCUCCCCUACGAUUCCCCAGGCGGUUCACCGUCUGUGUAAACACGCUUUACUCUCCUCCUUUCUCUCUCUCUCUCUUUCUCUCUCUCUCUCUCUCUCUCUCUAUCUCUCUCUAUCUACCCGCCGAUGGCCACAAGUAGCUUUCGAUUAUAACACACAUGGCAAUAUUGUAACUCUCCAACUACUCUACAUUUCAAGUGACGUCAUGGCUAAUUCUAAAGCGUAUGAGUGUGCGAGAGAGAAAGUUACUGAGGCAAAAUGGGAUAGUCUGUAGUGAAUAGAUUGUUGAGUUAGGCCUUACUCUUUACUAUUGACACUGAUUUAAAAGUAACACCUUAACACAAUGUCCGCUGCUCCAUGUUGUGUGCGUAAUGGUGCAUAAUUGUCAGGGCAGAUACAUUGAUUUUGGAACUAGCUUAGACCAGAGUGGGUGCAUUGGGCAAAUGUCUAGUCAUCCUCUGUGACAAACAUCGUGACAGCAAGCCUAUUGAAAACCAUAGCCAACAUUUGAAGAAAUCAUGGUUAAUGGGGUUUGGAGUCAAAGCCUGAUAACAUAUUCCCUGUAAGCCUGUUUUUUUCCCCCACAAACAGAAACCUAUGUGCAGAAAAGGAAUACCGGAAGAUAACCCUCAACUAUGAUAUGUUUAUUUAGCAAGAUCUUGACUGACAAAAUAAAUAGGUGGAUAUUAGAGACACCUACAAAACGAGAAAAAUGCCUGCAAUGCCCACAAUUUCAACUGACCUGUUGAUAAAAUGACCAUGGUGUUUUUUGUUAUUACAUGUAAGCUUCAGCCAUUGGCAGUAGGCUACCACGGAUCUAUGGAAAAUAUACAGCACGCCAAACGUUUCUUUGAAUCCAGUCAAUUCCACCGCACCAUGGAGAAAGGUAAACAAUGAGGCGUGAUUUGCUGUUGCCUUUUGCCCCAUGAACCUUAACCUGGUACCUUGGAUAGCGACGCUAGGGAAUCAUUUUACUACAGUAACGGAAUCCUAAGUGACGCGCCUCGCUAUGUUGUUCACAUUCGGGACGAAUGGCUGGCGAGUCCCCCUUCACCAUCCAAUGGCUGGGGUAUGAGGCGCUCAAACGCUACACCAAGAACAUGCCGGGCAACCGGGGCAUGAAGGCGGUGAAAGACAUUCGCUUCCUUGCGAGGAGGUGCAAGGCCAGGGGCUGUUGGACGGUGAUGACACCACCCAUCAAAUAUGUCCUCGAAGACAAGGACUUUAUCAAAAUUGAGUUUGGCAUAUUAACUCGGACUGUCAUUCCUGUCCACAAGCUCAAGGAGCUAUAGGAGAAUCUGGUGCGAUCACACUCUGCAGAACAUCAGUGAUUUUAAACUUUCCCAUUCCACUCUGGUGUUUAUGUGUGGGCAACCCAGAGAGGACCAUGAUGUUGUUGGCUCUGAGGAUUAAUGUCCUUGCUAAAGGAUACAGUGGAAUCUCCCUGGAAACCCUGCAUAGAAUGAUCCAGGCCUUCAAUGUGUCCUGCCUGUCCUUCGUCCCUGAGAAGGGGAAAGUUGGUGCCAGUGGAGAUCUGCCCCCCCUCUCUCAUUUGACUCUGGGAGAAGGCAAGAUGUGGUCACCCAAGAGUAGAUGAGCCAACGCCAAAUACAUAUCCACGCCCUGUGGCCCCAUCCAGGACAGAUAGAAGUGGCCAGGAGGUUCCGCACCCUACUGGACUCAGACCACCACCCCUCAGAGAUCGCAGAUGAGUGAAUGGAUUAGAGAGCCAUCGGUUCUGGUGUCCAGGAUGCCUACACUAUACUCCUCAGUGAAGGGACAGACUGACCCUCCCUCCAUCCCUAUUUGUGAGCUGUAUCCCAGUGGAGACUUCCCAAAAGGAGAGGAGUUUGAAUAUCCCCCAUCUAAAGACGGUUCUUGCUAUGGAACUGCUAGCUGCCUGCCAGGGCAUCGAGUUCUUCCACCCCCUGCUUACCACAACACCAUUGGAGAAGGUCUAUGACCUUGUACCGCAGUGUAACCAAAGCCCUGGAUCAAGUAUAGGUUCAUGUCACCAGACAUUGAUGCUGUCCAUCAUCUUCUUCUAGACCAGAAGGCAAG